AGAAUUAUUAUCAAAAUUUAGUAUAUUGAGUCAAAUUUCUGAAACAAGGGUUAAAAAUCUUACUCCUAGAAAAAAAAAAUUAUUAUCUAAACAAAACCCAAAGCAAAAGAAUCUGCAAAUUAAAAAGCAAACCGUUUUCGAGCAAACAAAAAUUGAAAGCAGCAUAUCAGUUGUCAAAAACCCAAGUUUUUAAAGAAUUAGAGCAAAAUAUGGAUUGUUCAGUAGCCUCUUUUUUUCAAAAUUGCUUUACAAAUUUAAAAACAAAAAGACCAACAUGGACAACCAAAGAUAAGGUAUAUGCCCUAGCACUCUACAAAAGAGGUCCAAAAUCAUACAGGUUUUUAAAAAGCAGUCUAGCUUUACCACGUAAAUCCACCCUACAAAAACUUUUAAAAAGUGCACCCUUUGAAGCGGGCAUUAAUGAUAAGCUUUUUGGUAAAUUAAAAUUAAGAGUGAAUAAAAUGAAAGCAAUUGACAGGUAUUGCUCAUUAAUUUUUGAUGAAAUUUCACUGUCAGAACAAUUAAUGUACAAUCGGUUAUAUGAUAUGGUUGAUGGCUAUGUAGACCUAGGGCCCAUGGGUAGAAGAAAUCAGUUUGCAAAUCAUGCUUUAGUUUUUAUGGUCAAUGGCCUCCACAAAACUUGGAAGCAACCAAUUGCAUAUUUUUUUACUAGGGACUUACUUGCAAUAGAAUUGAAAGUUUUAAUAAAACAGUUGAUUGCCAAAAUUGAGGAAACUGGACUUACAGUUUUAUGUACAGUAUGUGACCAGGCAUCUGAUAAUCUCUCUACCAUAAAACAACUUUCAAAAGAAAAUACUCGACCGGGUCCAUACUUUUAUAUAAACAACCAUAGGGUUUUUACUCUUUUUGAUUAUUGCUUUAUUAACUGCUCUAUCUUUUAGCUAUAAAUUAAAAUAAUAUUUAGUCUGGCAAUUACAUAAUAUAUACUUCAUCAUAUUCAAAUAUAUUUUUUUUUAAUCAAAACUUUUUUAGAUAACAAUAUGAAUACAAAAUUCUUUUAAAACUCCCUGAUCAAUUCAAAACAUUUUAUAUAUAUUGUAUAUAGUAGUUUUUUUAACAUAGUUUUUUUAAACUUUUUUUACUAGGUCUGACGAAAGGUAUCAUCAGUGCUUUGCUGCUAGGAAGUACAAAUACACAGUACAAGUACAAAAGCACAAUAAGUGAAACAACUUCCAUUCCACCAGGUCACUACUCAAGGAGGUACCUCACCUCGAUAAGAUGGGAGUAAGAUCCAGGGAUGCUCAUUGAAUAUUUAAGAAAAAGGACCGAUGACAUCUAGAAUUAAGGGGUUAGUUUUUAUAUAUUACCACGCCCCUAACAUUUUCGGGUACCCUCUGUACAAAAAAGUAGGUAGUAAACGUAAAAUUUUUAGGGCAUAUUUUUGAGAAUUAUAGUUCUUAUGUCUAAAAAUAGUUAAUUUAUAAAUUUGAUAAAUUGUAAUUUUUGUAUCAUAUCCUCAAAAUGUAAAAUGUAAAAAGCAAAAUACAUACCAUGGACAGUGUUGUGCUAAAGCAGCACAAAAACAAAUUGUAUCAGGAUCCCUUUUAAGACAAUAAAUUAUAUUUAUUUAUAACUUA
Long non-coding RNA from Anthonomus grandis grandis, 1598 nucleotides. RefSeq lists it as uncharacterized. NCBI's taxonomy places the organism in Eukaryota, Metazoa, Arthropoda, Insecta, Coleoptera, Curculionidae. The record is from RefSeq and is a predicted model, not a curated record. The transcript is spliced from 2 exons.